This 440-nucleotide ribosomal RNA is filed under the name Clostridium perfringens. RNAcentral's name for it is "bacterial SSU rRNA". It matches the Rfam family "Bacterial small subunit ribosomal RNA", at positions 343 to 800 of the family's 1533-position model. Lineage: Bacteria; Bacillati; Bacillota; Clostridia; Eubacteriales; Clostridiaceae. The record is from RNAcentral.
GGGGGGCAGCAGUGGGGAAUAUUGCACAAUGGGGGAAACCCUGAUGCAGCAACGCCGCGUGAGUGAUGAAGGUUUUCGGAUCGUAAAGCUCUGUCUUUGGGGAAGAUAAUGACGGUACCCAAGGAGGAAGCCACGGCUAACUACGUGCCAGCAGCCGCGGUAAUACGUAGGUGGCGAGCGUUAUCCGGAUUUACUGGGCGUAAAGGGAGCGUAGGCGGAUGAUUAAGUGGGAUGUGAAAUACCCGGGCUCAACUUGGGUGCUGCAUUCCAAACUGGUUAUCUAGAGUGCAGGAGAGGAGAGUGGAAUUCCUAGUGUAGCGGUGAAAUGCGUAGAGAUUAGGAAGAACACCAGUGGCGAAGGCGACUCUCUGGACUGUAACUGACGCUGAGGCUCGAAAGCGUGGGGAGCAAACAGGAUUAGAUACCCUGGUAGUCCACGC